GUCUCGUUGGUGUAGUUGGUUAUCACGUGGGUCUCAUAUGUUAGUGUUUCAUGAAUAUGACUGCUAGUUUUCUAGCGGAUAUCCCAAGGCCGCCAGUUCGAGUCUGGCACGGGACA
Decorospora gaudefroyi is the source of this 116-nucleotide non-coding RNA. NCBI's taxonomy places the organism in Eukaryota, Fungi, Ascomycota, Dothideomycetes, Pleosporales, Pleosporaceae. The record is from the annotation of a GenBank genome assembly.